UGGGGAAUAUUGGGCACUGGGCGCAAGCCUGACCCAGCAACGCCGCGUGAAGGAAGAAGGCUUUCGGGUUGUAAACUUCUUUUCUCAGGGACGAACAGAUGACGGUACCUGAGGAAUAAGCCACGGCUAACUACGUGCC
Molecule: ribosomal RNA, 139 nt
Filed under: uncultured bacterium
Lineage: Bacteria
Description: partial 16S ribosomal RNA
Rfam family: Bacterial small subunit ribosomal RNA
Source: RNAcentral